This 404-nucleotide unclassified non-coding RNA is filed under the name Hevea brasiliensis (rubber tree). Lineage: Eukaryota; Viridiplantae; Streptophyta; Magnoliopsida; Malpighiales; Euphorbiaceae. The record is from RNAcentral.
ACGUUGUGGUCUUUGGUGGGUAGAAAUGUUGAAGGCCAGAGAUCAGUACAAGGAGGCCGCCAGUGUAUACUUCCGUAUCUCUGGUGAGGAGCCUCUCCAUUCAGCAGUAAUGCUCGAGCAAGCAUCGUACUGUUACUUGUUUUCCACUCCCCCCAUGUUGCGCAAGUACGGGUUUCAUCUUGUUCUUUCCGGGGACCUGUAUAAAAAAUGUGAUCAGAUAAAACAUGCAAUUCGAACAUACAAAUGUGCUCUUUCUGUUUUCAAGGGAACUACAUGGAGGCACAUUAGAGACCAUGUUCAUUUCCACAUAGGAAAGUGGUAUGGUUUCUUGGGGAUCUUUGAUGUUGCUAUCAAAAAUAUGUUGGAGGUUCUAGCUUGUGGUCAUCAAUCUAAGACAACACAGG